AAAGUUUUAAGUUAAUUAAACUAAUAAUCUUCAAAAUUAUAAAUAAAUAAAUAUAUUUAAACUUUA
RNAcentral lists this transfer RNA (66 nucleotides) under Notidobia ciliaris. Its description in RNAcentral is "tRNA-Trp". The record is from RNAcentral. Lineage: Eukaryota; Metazoa; Arthropoda; Insecta; Trichoptera; Sericostomatidae.